Molecule: long non-coding RNA, 83 nt
Organism: Ipomoea nil (Japanese morning glory)
Lineage: Eukaryota; Viridiplantae; Streptophyta; Magnoliopsida; Solanales; Convolvulaceae
Exons: 3
Source: RefSeq, a predicted model, not a curated record
GACAGCUGGCCUCUGCUAAACUAUUUGCAGAGGAGAAGGUUGCUGAAGAAAUUUCUUUGAGGAAAGGUAUUUCACUUGGCGCA